This is a long non-coding RNA of Odontomachus brunneus, 1041 nucleotides long. RefSeq lists it as uncharacterized. The record is from RefSeq and is a predicted model, not a curated record. NCBI's taxonomy places the organism in Eukaryota, Metazoa, Arthropoda, Insecta, Hymenoptera, Formicidae. The transcript has 2 exons.
GCCUCGCUGUUGCCUCGGAUCGGCGCGGAACGCGGAUAAUCGGCCGCCGCCGACGAGAAUUGUCAACGGGGGCGGCGAGCACCCGAUGGAUCGAUCGACACCGCGACGGGAGACAGACAGAGAGGGAGAGACAAAGAAAGAGGGAGAGAGAUUCCGACGAGCUCGGUAGAGGAACAACCUGAGACAAUUCCCCCUGGAAUAUUCUCGAAAUGUCGCAGAAACAUAUUUAUAAAGAAUUAAACUGGAAGCCAGGUCAAGUGUUUUACCACACCAUUGAAAUCUAACAUAUCAAACCGUUCUGCACACUAAUAUAUGCUAUUAUAUAUAGUAUAAUAAUUCCGCAACAAUUAGAUGCAAGGAAUAUCAGGCAUAUUGUGUCAAAUUAAACAAAUUCCUCGAGGUACGUUACAUCAAUUAGAAAAUGUAUUUCAUUGUGCUGUGGUUACAAUUAUCAAUAGCUACUACUAUAAUCCGAUUUAAGAGAAUUAAGAUAAUUACGUAACCUAGCAUAAUAGCGAACUCGACAUGAGAAAGGCUGCUAAGUGCCAAAUAUGGUUCGAGGUAUCGCUUUGCACUAAAUAACAUUUAAAUUUAUAUAAAAUAAAUAACAAAAAUUAAUAUAAAUUAUGCACAUUAAAAGUAAAUUUUUGCUGUGCUAUCGUUUUUAGUACACAGUCUCUUUCGAAGAAACAAGUAAUUCUGCGAAGUAAUUUUCAAGAGAAAAGAAAGAUAAUUUUACAGCAGCAGCUUUUCUACAUGCCGAAUUUUCGAUAGGAUACAUGUGAGAAAUUGUAUAUUAUAAUAUUAUACCAUCUUUCUGGAAAAGUUUUUGAGACUCUAGAAUAGUUCCAAAUUAAAUGUAAGUCAGAGGAAAAAAAACGUUAUGUAGUUAUGGUGCAUUGAUAAACAACUAAGAAACUAUUUCUUCUACAGCGUUUCCGGCAUUACAUAGACGGUAUCCAGUCCCUUAAUACUCUAAGUUUUAUGAAAAUUUAUAUAUAUAUAUAUAUAUAUAUAUAUAUAUAUAUAUAUAUGUGAUAA